This 487-nucleotide long non-coding RNA is filed under the name Panax ginseng (ginseng). Its description in RNAcentral is "long non-coding RNA (PGIN_LNC016302)". The record is from RNAcentral. Lineage: Eukaryota; Viridiplantae; Streptophyta; Magnoliopsida; Apiales; Araliaceae.
AGAAAUACGUACUACCACAAAUGUUGGGUCAUGAUAUUUCUCCUAUUGGGCCAAGUAGAUUGGGCUUACUUAUUUGAUUAGUCUACUGGGUCCUCAUUAGUGAGUCUUAAAGUUACUGGGUAUGGUCAUUAUAUUAUUCCUGUUGGGUCCUUUUUAGAUCGGGUCGGAUCAAUGGAUCGACCCAUUAGAUAUUAUAAUAUCUCUAUAUUUGACUUGUAAUGAUUAAAAAGGAAGGUUGUUGACUGUUGUGACUGCAAUGCAUUAAUGUGGAUGAGAUUAUAACCGGUCGGCGGUAUAAACAGUGCAUGAAAAAGGUGACAGCCUGUAUGCAGUCGGCAGAAAUCACUGAGGAGUGGGGGGCUGUGUCAGACGGUAGUAGGUGGCACGGUAAACCGGGCAAGAGAGUAUAACCUAGCAAGGAAGUCUUCAAAAAAAGGUACACACAUUCAACUAAGAUUUUUAUCUCUCAAGACUUUAGAUAUUUUCA